Glycine soja is the source of this 607-nucleotide long non-coding RNA. RefSeq lists it as uncharacterized. The transcript is spliced from 4 exons. The record is from RefSeq and is a predicted model, not a curated record. Lineage: Eukaryota; Viridiplantae; Streptophyta; Magnoliopsida; Fabales; Fabaceae.
UUCAUUGAAAUAAAUGAAAGAGUGUGAAAAGUUGGUGGGUCAGCAGUAGUUGAAGAUAAGGAGUUAAAGGUGCCACGGAGAAACAAAUACUACUCAUUUAGUGUGUGUGUGUGUGUGAACUGAAGAGUACUCUUUGGAAACCAAAGUAUAAAGCAACAGCAGCAGCAGGGAAGCAAUGGAAGGUGGUAUAUCGAAUAGUACAGCUACAGGAACGACAGAGUCAGAGUUGGAAGCCUUGCAGAGAGAGCAUGAAGAGAAAAAUAUGAAAAUUAAAGAGCUCAAGAGACAGAUUGAAUUGACAAAGAACCGCUUGGAAAAGAAAAAGAAAGAAGUCACGGAGGAGCAAAUGGGAGGUUUCAAUAUAAGCAAGAAAUAUAACAGCCUGACAGAGGAAUAAAAUGAAAUGCUAGCUGAAAAAUUAAGGGAAUCAAAGUAAUAAAUCUCAAAUUAUUAAGCCUAGCUAUAAACAUUACUAGUUUCGGAUAUAUUUAAUCAAAGAUAUGGAUAUAUCUAAUUAAAGUUAACUAUUGUUUCUCCAUAUUGCUUGUAUUUUCUGUUUCAAGAAAUGAGACUAAGAGGGACGGUUCCCCUUGACAUGAAAACAUAA